This 446-nucleotide ribosomal RNA is filed under the name uncultured bacterium. Its description in RNAcentral is "partial 16S ribosomal RNA". It matches the Rfam family "Bacterial small subunit ribosomal RNA", at positions 338 to 795 of the family's 1533-position model. The record is from RNAcentral.
CCUACGGGGGGUAGCAGUCGAGAAUCAUUCACAAUGGGGGAAACCCUGAUGGUGCGACGCCGCGUGGGGGAAUGAAGGUCUUCGGAUUGUAAACUCCUGUCAUGUGGGAGCAAAUUAAAAAGAUAGUACCACAAGAGGAAGAGACGGCUAACUCUGUGCCAGCAGCCGCGGUAAUACAGAGGUCUCAAGCGUUGUUCGGAAUCACUGGGCGUAAAGCGUGCGUAGGCUGUUUCGUAAGUCGUGUGUGAAAGGCGCGGGCUCAACCCGCGGACGGCACAUGAUACUGCGAGACUAGAGUAAGGGAGGGGGAACCGGAAUUCUCGGUGUAGCAGUGAAAUGCGUAGAUAUCGAGAGGAACACUCGUGGCGAAGGCGGGUUCCUGGACAUUAACUGACGCUGAGGCACGAAGGCCAGGGGAGCGAAAGGGAUUAGAUACCCCAGUAGUC